This 1368-nucleotide ribosomal RNA is filed under the name uncultured bacterium. RNAcentral's name for it is "bacterial SSU rRNA". It matches the Rfam family "Bacterial small subunit ribosomal RNA", at positions 28 to 1381 of the family's 1533-position model. The record is from RNAcentral.
GACGAACGCUGGCGGCGUGCCUAAUACAUGCAAGUAGAACGCUGAAGAGAGGAGCUUGCUCUUCUUGGAUGAGUUGCGAACGGGUGAGUAACGCGUAGGUAACCUGCCUUGUAGCGGGGGAUAACUAUUGGAAACGAUAGCUAAUACCGCAUAACAAUGGAUGACUCAUGUCAUUUAUUUGAAAGGGGCAAAUGCUCCACUACAAGAUGGACCUGCGUUGUAUUAGCUAGUAGGUGAGGUAACGGCUCACCUAGGCGACGAUACAUAGCCGACCUGAGAGGGUGAUCGGCCACACUGGGACUGAGACACGGCCCAGACUCCUACGGGAGGCAGCAGUAGGGAAUCUUCGGCAAUGGGGGCAACCCUGACCGAGCAACGCCGCGUGAGUGAAGAAGGUUUUCGGAUCGUAAAGCUCUGUUGUAAGUCAAGAACGAGUGUGAGAGUGGAAAGUUCACACUGUGACGGUAGCUUACCAGAAAGGGACGGCUAACUACGUGCCAGCAGCCGCGGUAAUACGUAGGUCCCGAGCGUUGUCCGGAUUUAUUGGGCGUAAACGAGCGCAGGCGGUUUGAUAAGUCUGAAGUUAAAGGCUGUGGCUCAACCAUAGUUCGCUUUGGAAACUGUCAAACUUGAGUGCAGAAGGGGAGAGUGGAAUUCCAUGUGUAGCGGUGAAAUGCGUAGAUAUAUGGAGGAACACCGGUGGCGAAAGCGGCUCUCUGGUCUGUAACUGACGCUGAGGCUCGAAAGCGUGGGGAGCGAACAGGAUUAGAUACCCUGGUAGUCCACGCCGUAAACGAUGAGUGCUAGGUGUUGGAUCCUUUCCGGGAUUCAGUGCCGCAGCUAACGCAUUAAGCACUCCGCCUGGGGAGUACGACCGCAAGGUUGAAACUCAAAGGAAUUGACGGGGGCCCGCACAAGCGGUGGAGCAUGUGGUUUAAUUCGAAGCAACGCGAAGAACCUUACCAGGUCUUGACAUCCCGAUGCUAUUUCUAGAGAUAGAAAGUUACUUCGGUACAUCGGUGACAGGUGGUGCAUGGUUGUCGUCAGCUCGUGUCGUGAGAUGUUGGGUUAAGUCCCGCAACGAGCGCAACCCCUAUUGUUAGUUGCCAUCAUUCAGUUGGGCACUCUAGCGAGACUGCCGGUAAUAAACCGGAGGAAGGUGGGGAUGACGUCAAAUCAUCAUGCCCCUUAUGACCUGGGCUACACACGUGCUACAAUGGUUGGUACAACGAGUUGCGAGUCGGUGACGGCAAGCUAAUCUCUUAAAGCCAAUCUCAGUUCGGAUUGUAGGCUGCAACUCGCCUACAUGAAGUCGGAAUCGCUAGUAAUCGCGGAUCAGCACGCCGCGGUGAAUACGUUCCCGGGCCU